Hemibagrus wyckioides is the source of this 472-nucleotide long non-coding RNA. RefSeq lists it as uncharacterized. The transcript has 4 exons. NCBI's taxonomy places the organism in Eukaryota, Metazoa, Chordata, Actinopteri, Siluriformes, Bagridae. The record is from RefSeq and is a predicted model, not a curated record.
CUUACAUGAAACUCAUUUAUUGCAGAACCUGUGGAUUUGCAGGGAGAAUCAUCAGAUACUCCCUCAGUCCUCCAGGUUGUUGAGCCAAUCCUGCCGCUGCUGCCCACAGAAACUCACUCCACAUCUUCAGCUGUUGUUCUGCCCCUCAGUGCUGGUGAGCUGAACAGCACCUGCUGUAAUGUUGACUACAACACUGCAGACUCCUCCAUCUCCCAGUCUGGGCAAGUGGACCUUAGGAGAGACAUCCUCAGGUUUAUAAGGAGUCCAGAGAGUCGUCUCUGCUGGCAUGAAACUGCACACUGCUGGACGCUCGAGGUAAUCACAGUAUUUCUUACUCUCAUGAAGAGGUUCCACUUUAACGAUUAUUAAAAGAGAACUUAAAUGAAAUGCGGUUGUAGAUCUUGAGUUUCAUCUAAUUGUCGUUUGCAGGGAUUCCCUUACCAUAACAACUGUGAGGACGGUUUCCCUGGCA